GAUGAACGCUGGCGGCGUGCCUAAUACAUGCAAGUCGAGCGAACGGACGAGAGGCUUGCUUCUCUGAUGUUAGCGGCGGACGGGUGAGUAACACGUGGAUAACCUACCUAUAAGACUGGGAUAACUUCGGGAAACCGUAGCUAAUACCGGAUAAUAUUUUGAACCGCAUGGUUCAAAAGUGAAAGACGGUCUUGCUGUCACUUAUAGAUGGAUCCGCGCUGCAUUAGCUAGUUGGUAAGGUAACGGCUUACCAAGGCAACGAUGCAUAGCCGACCUGAGAGGGUGAUCGGCCACACUGGAACUGAGACACGGUCCAGACUCCUACGGGAGGCAGCAGUAGGGAAUCUUCCGCAAUGGGCGAAAGCCUGACGGAGCAACGCCGCGUGAGUGAUGAAGGUCUUCGGAUCGUAAAACUCUGUUAUUAGGGAAGAACAUAUGUGUAAGUAACUGUGCACAUCUUGACGGUACCUAAUCAGAAAGCCACGGCUAACUACGUGCCAGCAGCCGCGGUAAUACGUAGGUGGCAAGCGUUAUCCGGAAUUAUUGGGCGUAAAGCGCGCGUAGGCGGUUUUUUAAGUCUGAUGUGAAAGCCCACGGCUCAACCGUGGAGGGUCAUUGGAAACUGGAAAACUUGAGUGCAGAAGAGGAAAGUGGAAUUCCAUGUGUAGCGGUGAAAUGCGCAGAGAUAUGGAGGAACACCAGUGGCGAAGGCGACUUUCUGGUCUGUAACUGACGCUGAUGUGCGAAAGCGUGGGGAUCAAACAGGAUUAGAUACCCUGGUAGUCCACGCCGUAAACGAUGAGUGCUAAGUGUUAGGGGGUUUCCGCCCCUUAGUGCUGCAGCUAACGCAUUAAGCACUCCGCCUGGGGAGUACGACCGCAAGGUUGAAACUCAAAGGAAUUGACGGGGACCCGCACAAGCGGUGGAGCAUGUGGUUUAAUUCGAAGCAACGCGAAGAACCUUACCAAAUCUUGACAUCCUUUGACAACUCUAGAGAUAGAGCCUUCCCCUUCGGGGGACAAAGUGACAGGUGGUGCAUGGUUGUCGUCAGCUCGUGUCGUGAGAUGUUGGGUUAAGUCCCGCAACGAGCGCAACCCUUAAGCUUAGUUGCCAUCAUUAAGUUGGGCACUCUAAGUUGACUGCCGGUGACAAACCGGAGGAAGGUGGGGAUGACGUCAAAUCAUCAUGCCCCUUAUGAUUUGGGCUACACACGUGCUACAAUGGACAAUACAAAGGGCAGCGAAACCGCGAGGUCAAGCAAAUCCCAUAAAGUUGUUCUCAGUUCGGAUUGUAGUCUGCAACUCGACUACAUGAAGCUGGAAUCGCUAGUAAUCGUAGAUCAGCAUGCUACGGUGAAUACGUUCCCGGGUCU
This 1372-nucleotide ribosomal RNA is filed under the name uncultured bacterium. RNAcentral describes it as "bacterial SSU rRNA". It matches the Rfam family "Bacterial small subunit ribosomal RNA", at positions 28 to 1381 of the family's 1533-position model. The record is from RNAcentral.